Molecule: ribosomal RNA, 429 nt
Filed under: Bacillota bacterium
Lineage: Bacteria; Bacillati; Bacillota
Description: Firmicutes bacterium partial 16S ribosomal RNA
Rfam family: Bacterial small subunit ribosomal RNA
Source: RNAcentral
UAGGGAAUCUUCCACAAUGGACGCAAGUCUGAUGGAGCAACGCCGCGUGAGUGAAGAAGGUUUUCGGAUCGUAAAGCUCUGUUGUUGGUGAAGAAGGAUAGAGGCAGUAACUGGUCUUUAUUUGACGGUAAUGAACCAGAAAGUCACGGCUAACUACGUGCCAGCAGCCGCGGUAAUACGUAGGGGGCAAGCGUUGACCGGAUUUAUUGGGCGUAAAGCGAGCGCAGGCGGAAUGAUAAGUCUGAUGUGAAAGCCCACGGCUCAACCGUGGAACUGCAUCGGAAACUGUCAUUCUUGAGUGCAGAAGAGGAGAGUGGAAUUCCAUGUGUAGCGGUGGAAUGCGUAAAUAUAUGGAAGAGCACCAGUGGCGAAGGCGGCUCUCUGGUCUGCAACUGACGCUGAGGCUCGAAAGCAUGGGUAGCGAACAGG